ACGGAGGGUGCAAGCGUUAUUCGGAAUCAUUGGGUGUAAAGCGCGUGUAGGCGGCUUGGAAAGUCAGAUGUGAAAGCUUCGGGCUUAACCCGGAAAGUGCAUUUGAAACUCCCAGGCUUGAGUCCCGGAGAGGAAGGUGGAAUUCCCAGUGUAGAGGUGAAAUUCGUAGAUAUUGGGAGGAACACCGGUGGCGAAGGCGACCUUCUGGACGGUGACUGACGCUGAGACGCGAAAGCGUGGGUAGCAAACAG
This 251-nucleotide ribosomal RNA is filed under the name uncultured prokaryote. Its description in RNAcentral is "partial 16S ribosomal RNA". It matches the Rfam family "Bacterial small subunit ribosomal RNA", at positions 525 to 775 of the family's 1533-position model. The record is from RNAcentral.